Molecule: ribosomal RNA, 2337 nt
Filed under: Staphylococcus aureus
Lineage: Bacteria; Bacillati; Bacillota; Bacilli; Caryophanales; Staphylococcaceae
Also listed under: 1 other name
Description: partial 23S ribosomal RNA
Rfam family: Bacterial large subunit ribosomal RNA
Source: RNAcentral
CGUUAAUGGGUGAUGGCGUGCCUUUUGUAGAAUGAACCGGCGAGUUACGAUUUGAUGCAAGGUUAAGCAGUAAAUGUGGAGCCGUAGCGAAAGCGAGUCUGAAUAGGGCGUUUAGUAUUUGGUCGUAGACCCGAAACCAGGUGAUCUACCCUUGGUCAGGUUGAAGUUCAGGUAACACUGAAUGGAGGACCGAACCGACUUACGUUGAAAAGUGAGCGGAUGAACUGAGGGUAGCGGAGAAAUUCCAAUCGAACCUGGAGAUAGCUGGUUCUCUCCGAAAUAGCUUUAGGGCUAGCCUCAAGUGAUGAUUAUUGGAGGUAGAGCACUGUUUGGACGAGGGGCCCCUCUCGGGUUACCGAAUUCAGACAAACUCCGAAUGCCAAUUAAUUUAACUUGGGAGUCAGAACAUGGGUGAUAAGGUCCGUGUUCGAAAGGGAAACAGCCCAGACCACCAGCUAAGGUCCCAAAAUAUAUGUUAAGUGGAAAAGGAUGUGGCGUUGCCCAGACAACUAGGAUGUUGGCUUAGAAGCAGCCAUCAUUUAAAGAGUGCGUAAUAGCUCACUAGUCGAGUGACACUGCGCCGAAAAUGUACCGGGGCUAAACAUAUUACCGAAGCUGUGGAUUGUCCUUUGGACAAUGGUAGGAGAGCGUUCUAAGGGCGUUGAAGCAUGAUCGUAAGGACAUGUGGAGCGCUUAGAAGUGAGAAUGCCGGUGUGAGUAGCGAAAGACGGGUGAGAAUCCCGUCCACCGAUUGACUAAGGUUUCCAGAGGAAGGCUCGUCCGCUCUGGGUUAGUCGGGUCCUAAGCUGAGGCCGACAGGCGUAGGCGAUGGAUAACAGGUUGAUAUUCCUGUACCACCUAUAAUCGUUUUAAUCGAUGGGGGGACGCAGUAGGAUAGGCGAAGCGUGCGAUUGGAUUGCACGUCUAAGCAGUAAGGCUGAGUAUUAGGCAAAUCCGGUACUCGUUAAGGCUGAGCUGUGAUGGGGAGAAGACAUUGUGUCUUCGAGUCGUUGAUUUCACACUGCCGAGAAAAGCCUCUAGAUAGAAAAUAGGUGCCCGUACCGCAAACCGACACAGGUAGUCAAGAUGAGAAUUCUAAGGUGAGCGAGCGAACUCUCGUUAAGGAACUCGGCAAAAUGACCCCGUAACUUCGGGAGAAGGGGUGCUCUUUAGGGUUAACGCCCAGAAGAGCCGCAGUGAAUAGGCCCAAGCGACUGUUUAUCAAAAACACAGGUCUCUGCUAAACCGUAAGGUGAUGUAUAGGGGCUGACGCCUGCCCGGUGCUGGAAGGUUAAGAGGAGUGGUUAGCUUCUGCGAAGCUACGAAUCGAAGCCCCAGUAAACGGCGGCCGUAACUAUAACGGUCCUAAGGUAGCGAAAUUCCUUGUCGGGUAAGUUCCGACCCGCACGAAAGGCGUAACGAUUUGGGCACUGUCUCAACGAGAGACUCGGUGAAAUCAUAGUACCUGUGAAGAUGCAGGUUACCCGCGACAGGACGGAAAGACCCCGUGGAGCUUUACUGUAGCCUGAUAUUGAAAUUCGGCACAGCUUGUACAGGAUAGGUAGGAGCCUUUGAAACGUGAGCGCUAGCUUACGUGGAGGCGCUGGUGGGAUACUACCCUAGCUGUGUUGGCUUUCUAACCCGCACCACUUAUCGUGGUGGGAGACAGUGUCAGGCGGGCAGUUUGACUGGGGCGGUCGCCUCCUAAAAGGUAACGGAGGCGCUCAAAGGUUCCCUCAGAAUGGUUGGAAAUCAUUCAUAGAGUGUAAAGGCAUAAGGGAGCUUGACUGCGAGACCUACAAGUCGAGCAGGGUCGAAAGACGGACUUAGUGAUCCGGUGGUUCCGCAUGGAAGGGCCAUCGCUCAACGGAUAAAAGCUACCCCGGGGAUAACAGGCUUAUCUCCCCCAAGAGUUCACAUCGACGGGGAGGUUUGGCACCUCGAUGUCGGCUCAUCGCAUCCUGGGGCUGUAGUCGGUCCCAAGGGUUGGGCUGUUCGCCCAUUAAAGCGGUACGCGAGCUGGGUUCAGAACGUCGUGAGACAGUUCGGUCCCUAUCCGUCGUGGGCGUAGGAAAUUUGAGAGGAGCUGUCCUUAGUACGAGAGGACCGGGAUGGACAUACCUCUGGUGUACCAGUUGUCGUGCCAACGGCAUAGCUGGGUAGCUAUGUGUGGACGGGAUAAGUGCUGAAAGCAUCUAAGCAUGAAGCCCCCCUCAAGAUGAGAUUUCCCAACUUCGGUUAUAAGAUCCCUCAAAGAUGAUGAGGUUAAUAGGUUCGAGGUGGAAGCAUGGUGACAUGUGGAGCUGACGAAUACUAAUCGAUCGAAGACUUAAUCAA